This 489-nucleotide ribosomal RNA is filed under the name uncultured bacterium. RNAcentral describes it as "partial 16S ribosomal RNA". It matches the Rfam family "Bacterial small subunit ribosomal RNA", at positions 30 to 507 of the family's 1533-position model. The record is from RNAcentral.
UUGAACGCUGGCGGCAGGCCUAACACAUGCAAGUCGAACGGUAACAGGGAUCAGCUUGCUGAUUCGCUGACGAGUGGCGGACGGGUGAGUAAUGUCUGGGAAACUGCCUGAUGGAGGGGGAUAACUACUGGAAACGGUAGCUAAUACCGCAUAACGUCGCAAGACCAAAGAGGGGGACCUUCGGGCCUCUUGCCAUCGGAUGUGCCCAGAUGGGAUUAGCUAGUAGGUGGGGUAACGGCUCACCUAGGCGACGAUCCCUAGCUGGUCUGAGAGGAUGACCAGCCACACUGGAACUGAGACACGGUCCAGACUCCUACGGGAGGCAGCAGUGGGGAAUAUUGCACAAUGGGCGCAAGCCUGAUGCAGCCAUGCCGCGUGUAUGAAGAAGGCCUUCGGGUUGUAAAGUACUUUCAGCGGGGAGGAAGGGAGUAAAGUUAAUACCUUUGCUCAUUGACGUUACCCGCAGAAGAAGCACCGGCUAACUCCGUG